This 907-nucleotide long non-coding RNA is filed under the name Arabidopsis lyrata. Its description in RNAcentral is "long non-coding RNA (ALYR_LNC001099)". Lineage: Eukaryota; Viridiplantae; Streptophyta; Magnoliopsida; Brassicales; Brassicaceae. The record is from RNAcentral.
AACAAUUUAUUUAAUAGAACAUAUACUUCGCCGACGUUACAGAAAUUUAUUAACGAAAACAACACUUGAUAAUUCUAAAAAACAAACAAACACCACAGCUUCGUUUAAAACAUUUAAUUAGAACGACACAAACAAAUGACACAUAUAGAGAACAUAUCAGGGAACAAAACACAUUUGUUAAUUACCUCCCACGCUUGCAUCUGUUGAAGGUAGUACAAGCCCUGGAAUUAUAUAUCUUACCCUGUUUGAUACAAGCUUCAUACGCAGAAGAAGUACAUAUCGCCGUAUGUUGCAAGGCCCUCGUGGAUAUGUAAUUAUUUCUCCCUGAAAGAGAAUCCCAAAAUUCAUCAGCUCCCCCAUCUUCAUGAACAGUGAGAUUUCCCCAGUCACUUAUCAUCUGCCCUGAGGUUACAACGCCAAGGAGCAAGAGAAGGACGAAGACUAUUGACUUCAUUUCUUCAAUUAUUUGUCUUUUUUUUUUUGUUUUUCUGUGGUGUGAGGAGUGAUGGAUAGGGAAGAUAGAUAUAGUGGUAGUAUGAUUACUUUGGUUGGUCCAUAUUUAAUAUGAACUAAAUGUAUCCCUGAGCAUAUGUAAACAAUUAUAUAACAUGAAAUUUUUAAAAUGUUUUUGUAUUUGGUUAUCAAAACUAUAUUAUUUAAUUAAAAACUAUAUUAAAAUUUUCAAAUCACUUUUUCGAUGAAAACGCCAGCCAACUUCUUUUUUUGUUCAUGGAUUGUUUUUAAAUUUGUUUUUCUAGAUUUCCAAAUAAUAUUUAGAGAAUUACUCGUUCUUUUACCUCUAUUUUGUUGUUUACCAAUAAUUUCCACCGAAUAUUGGCUUUAUUACAUACUGACAUAUACCUUUGUACAAUUUCGUUUUACAACUUUUGUCGUAGCUUUUUUAGGU